RNAcentral lists this non-coding RNA (29 nucleotides) under Homo sapiens (human). The record is from RNAcentral. Lineage: Eukaryota; Metazoa; Chordata; Mammalia; Primates; Hominidae.
UGCGAUGACCACUAUUUGCCAGGCGGUGU